This 13222-nucleotide long non-coding RNA is filed under the name Volvox carteri. RNAcentral describes it as "long non-coding RNA (VCAR_LNC002563)". The record is from RNAcentral. Lineage: Eukaryota; Viridiplantae; Chlorophyta; Chlorophyceae; Chlamydomonadales; Volvocaceae.
UUCUUCUGACACCGAAUGAUUUCUGGGAUUGGAGAAGAGGCACGCAGACGAGAUAUCACGUGGCUUACACGGAAGUGUUUUCUUCUCUUGGUAGGGUUUAUAUCCCAAAAUGUCCUAGUGAAUAUGAUCCCAGGCUCAAAAUGGAUCAUCCAUUUAUUCAUGAAGCACACGCGUUCGAUGUUCAAUUGGUCAGUGAAAGCUUUUUACAACCAAGAACACAGUUUACCGGAAGCAAAUCUAGAACAUCAGGAAAAAUUGCACCAGAAAAUCACCCCCGAUAACUGAUCAGUCCAGAACGCAACGCCUCUAACCACACAUAGCACGAGCCCUGCUACGCGCAGGUGCUUAGACGGAGCGCUUGUUGGCCGGCUGCCAGUCGCGGGCGCUCUUGGGGCGCUGCACCAGGAAGCCCAUGAUCUGCACCUGCUUCACGUUGUCGAAGGCCACCAGGCGCACGUAGGCGUCCGGGAAGGCCUUGGUGCAGGCAACAAUCUCGCGCAGCACCUGCAUCGGGUCGCGGCAGCCGAACAUGGGCAGCUUCCACAUCGUCCAGUAGCGGUUGUCGUAGUACAGCUGCGGGGGAGGGGGAGAUGGCAGAGGGAAAAGAAUGACAGGAUUAUGUCAGUUGAACUAGGAAGGAAGACAACAAGGGCAGAGCGACCCAAAACCACUGCUGAGCACAAAUGUCUCGUAACCCUCAACUUACGCAGGAGACUGGGCCGAAGCGGACGGUCGACUCGUUCGAGACGUAGGCCUUGUCAGCCUCAGCGAACUCAAGGCAAGGAAUCCAGCCUACAGUUGGUAAUUUUGGAAAGCACGUCUGUAAUUAGGUGAUGGCGAAUCCACAUAGCGCACAAUUGAUGAGCAUAAGCGAGACGCACCGUUGGCGACGAUGUAGUCAACCUGGGCAGCAAUCUGCUCGUCUGUCAGAGGCGGAAGGUAGGAGAAGGUCUCGAACAUCCUGAAAUUGUAAGCAUUGAUAUCAUCAUCCAGGAGGACAGAAGAAUUUUCCUUGCGGAAGGGUCGAGGCCAACAUGUUGAACCACGGCGCUGCUCACUUGUUGUUCACCGGGGUCCAGACCAUCAUCUUGUUAGCCUGGGCUGGAGCAGCAACCGGGGCAGCCUUAACAGCCGGCUUCAGACCGGCAACUGGGCGCACGCUGCUGCGGGCGGGGCGCGCAACAACGGCGGCCACAGACGACUUAGCAACAAUAGCGGCCAUCUCUUCUCUGCUUGAACAGAAAGGUCUCAGAUCUUCAAAGAGUUGCGAACUGAAAUUGCUUCCUGUUACUUUGUCAUGAAUCAGCGACGCCUUCUUGUAUGGUGCGGAUAACUGUACGAUGAUAAAAUGUACGGCUACCUUCAAGCUUAGCCACAGCCUUCUCAGGAACCAAGAGUAUUUGCCUAUAAGGAUAAGGGUUCAUGGACGUGUUGACUUUGAAUGUUAACUCGCUGCUCUGACGCGCAGAUUUGAUAUGCUUGCAAGCCGGCAUCCUUUCCUUAUCAAACCCUAGCUAUGUGGAUAUGUGUAAAUCAAUGCCGACUACACAACUGCAUUGCUUAACUUAAUGUAAGGACACAAAUUGAUGUCCCCAGCCCGGGUAGUAGGUUUCGUCGCAACUGUAUGUCAGUUAUGGCAUUCCUGUAGGCAGCGAGGCUUUAAGGGUCAAGUAUUUGAGGUAAUAUUGUUUAAAAGUAAAUGUCUUGGGAAUCAUCUCGUGCCAUCGAGUGAGUCUACCGCACAGGGAGGGAUACCCAUAUAGUGUUGCACUUGCUUCGCAAUGCAUUCAUUCCCAAGAGAAAGAAGUCUUACGGCAUGCGCCACAAAUUUACACCUUCAGAAACAUGCAAUAACACGUUGUGCUUAUUUGUCUCGAGCAGCACAGCAUGGAGCCCAGAAACCUAAGCGCAUGGUUUCUUGAAACCCCGCAUGCUACAUCAUGUUAAGCUAUUCUCGCAUGUUCGGAACACCUUGUAUAGCUAUUCAACCAGUAUGCUUAGUCCUUAGCUGGUGAUGUCAUGCACGGGAAAAGUCCCUCUGGAGAAAGGGUUUGUCACCCGGGCCAUGCAUUGCGCCCACUCCGACACGCCCUCUGAUCUCUUUCCCUCCGGCGAUCGGUGAAAAACGGGUUUAUAAAACAUAUAACCAUUAUAACGGUACGGUACGGGAGCGCAGGGAACCCCAGGUCAGCACCACCGCUGCACAUGUUGGAAGCAACCGGGAGUGCAAGUGGCGAAGUAUAAGCACUGGAUGGGGCUGCCCUUUUCGGGAGCCGCAGCCGUUAUGUGGCCAACACAUGCUAAGGUUUUCACUCCUCGUUUAGCACAUCGUAAGCUAAUGCAGUUUCGUUUAUGUUGCUGGGCUUUGGAGGCAAACAGAGCACGAAGGGGCAAGUACCAUGUCCCCAGGGGGCAGCGGUUUUGCCACUGUUGUGGUACUAAUAGCCGAAUUGAGGAUGAAAAACACGUGUUAUUGGAAUGCCCAGCCUAUAAGGAUAUUCGUGCUGAAGAGGGAUUCGAUCAUCACCAGAGCAUGUUGGAGGCCAUGCAAUGGGAACCCGCACGUCUGGCGAAGAUGUUGGAACGUACGUGGGCUCACCGAAACUCAAUUACCCCCUUUGGACGCUAGUCUGGGCUGAUGUGCGGUGUUUUCCUUUCCUCCGUGGCUUUUAGGCGUUGUAGUAUUGCCCUUGGGCCUUCGGCUCGUAUGGGUAGUCCUACAGGUACGGGGUCACGCACCCCCAACCAUGUAACACACACACAUGUUUAGUGCCUCUCUGUGCCUCCAUUUCCUGUUUCUUUUGCCCUGCCUAGGGCCGGCCUUGAAUGUCUCUGCGGGCUGAAGUCCCGGCAAAUCCAUAAGCCGCAGAUAUUGAGCAAGCAAGUCCGGGCUACAGCGAGCAGCUGUACCAUUUCGCUGAAAAGGGUGCAAGGCCCCCCAGGUCCUCCAAGCCACACGUCCGUAGGCCGUGUUGCAUUCAAGGAGAUGGCUCGACAUGGCUCCGUCGUACCUGCCCAAUGGUGCAGGAGUGACAUUUGAACGUGUAGAUGGGUACGCGCUGAAUGUCUUCUUUGUCAUUGGUAUCCAAGGGGUCCUUUCCAGGGGAUUUGCAGCUGGAACCCUACCUGUCUUGGGGUUGGGGCGCCGGUCGCUCCUGUUAUCAGCAGGGCCUACACUCUGUGGUGAGAUGGCAGCCGAGGCGACUGAAGGCGAGUUCCAUGGUCAGACCUGAGCACCAUCAUUGGCUAUCUAUCCAUCAUUGGCUAUCCAUCAUUGGCUAUCUAUCUAUCAUUGGCUAUCCAUCUGGCUAUCUAUCUAUCUGGCCCAGAUGAGCUAUAGGGAGUUAGCCCCGAUAACAGUGUUCGGACUAUCGUGUCUAUUCGGACUACCGUGUCAGCCAAGGCAGAGGAAGCCAGGAAGUCUUGCAAGGAAAUGGAUGGACAUAGGAUGACACCUGUCAUCCGUGACUACCGGUUGCGCAUUGAGUAGAUGGUAGCGAUGUCAUGUGUCUUUUCUCUCCGCAUCUCUUUUGCGUGCGAUUUCUGUCGUUAUCCUCGUGUAAAGGCUUCGCUGUUUAUGAUGGACAAAAUCUAACCUUGAUUCGCCAUUACUAACACACUAAUUCGCGAAAACAUUUCUUGAUCUGCGAGCAAAAGCUGACUUGCCUUCGCUGCCUGCCCACCUACCUUGCUGUAGUUUUAUGGGGCGUAUUUGCGCGUCCGUGCCUUUGGGUCACAUGUGCUCUCCCUUCAAACUGCUUGCAACUUGCGGAAUGAUUCAAUCAGAUGAAACGUGGCAGAUACUGGUAAGCUUAAAGUGCAUAGGGUUGUCCAGGAGCAGGCCUGCGAACCCCCUGACGUCCCCGUGUCACAUGAUCUGCACCUGGGGGAGAUUAGCACCGCACGAUGCGCUUAGUCUGUUCAAAAACAAGCUGGACGCCGAACUACAUCACCCAUCACAGGCACAACUGCUCAGCAGCACUCCUUGAUGCAACAGCCUGGAAAAAUUGCACCUCGAACCCACUGCCGACAUGCCGACCAUCCACGCACAUCCACACUCCGAGGCGAUUAGCAACACGCGCAGCUGCUUAGACGGAGCGCUUGUUGGCCGGCUGCCAGUCGCGGGCGCUCUUGGGGCGCUGCACCAGGAAGCCCAUGAUCUGCACCUGCUUCACGUUGUCGAAGGCCACCAGGCGCACGUAGGCGUCCGGGAAGGCCUUGGUGCAGGCAACGAUCUCGCGCAGCACCUGCAUCGGGUCGCGGCAGCCGAACAUGGGCAGCUUCCACAUCGUCCAGUAGCGGUUGUCGUAGUACAGCUGCGGGGGAGGGAGGCAGAAGCAUGAGGAAGUCCAGCUUAGCAUUAAUACUGGAGGGCGGCCCAACCUCCUGUGCCUACAGAAGUGCAUGACAUUACAGGUGAACCACAGAAACGAAUGACUACGUUGCAAUGGCAUGUCUUACUGUUUCUAAACCCCAACUUACGCAAGACACCGGACCGAAGCGGACGGUCGACUCGUUCGACACGUAGGCCUUGUCAGCCUCAGCGAACUCCAAGCAAGGAAUCCAGCCUAAAAGAAGGGAGAUGCCAGCCAGAUAUCCGUCAAGUACUGUACCUUAAUGUGCAGUUCAUAUCCUCCGUACAUGCGCGUGUGUUGCGCACGUGCGGCAACUUAUAUGUGAUGGCAAUAACCCACAACGACGGCGUUGUGGUAAAGCAGCUGGGUCCCGAUCCUACCGUUGGCAACGAUGUAGUCGACCUGAGCAGCAAUCUGCUCAUCGCUCAGGGGCGGCAGAUAGGAGAAGGUCUCGAACAUCCUGCAUAGUUACAAAUAAUUGAAGACGGAAGAGUCUGCAUGCUUUUCUCUCGUUGCAGAGGCAGGAAUUCAUCAUGCAAGAACAAGGCGUAUCAAGCAUCAUGUCCAACGACUCACUUGUUGUUCACCGGGGUCCAGACCAUCAUCUUGUUGGCCUGAGUCGGGGUUGCCACAGGCGUAGCCCUGACAGAUGGCUUCAGAACGGCGACCGGGCGUACGCCGCUGCGUGCGGGACGCGCCACUGCCGUGGCCACCGACGACUUAGCAAUGACUGCGGCCAUUUCUCCUGUCUAUUUGAGAAGUAAGCAACCUUGUCAGACGGAUAAGGAUGGCUCUUCUGCCCAUUAGGUUGCUUCGGUUCUCUUUGUACUGGGAUGAUUGCUGUACUUUUGAUAGAAUGUACGGCGAGCCAACCCGAGCCACGGGUCUCAGGAGGGCCCUGAACAUACGUCAUUAAAUGGCGUAUUGAGGGAUGAAAUGAAUGGUGUCGUUUGUGGAAGACAUUAUUUUAUGGGGCCAAUAAUUGCGGACACAAUGGUUUGUCAGUUUAGCUACCUUAAUGUAUUAGAUAUCAGGUAGAGGUUGAGGCUCCAUGCCUUCUAUGCCACUGCGGCAAGCUGCCCAACGCUUGGGAACAACGUCCGGGGCAUAUAGUUAUGCUCUUUAGGCAAUGGAUUUCCAAUGCGAUAUUGGGCAUGCGGUUGCGGCCGCUACGAUUGAAGAUUAGAUGUGGGAACAUAGCCUGGGAAGGAGCGAGUUCUUUGGAAUGGCUUAACCCCUGACAGGAUACUGAGCCCUCCAUGUAACACCCAUGCUUAGAUGCUCGCUUAAACAUGGCAUCCAUGGGCAUACCAAUGAAUUUUGCAACUGCAACUGCGAAUGUUUGCUGGAUUGUUGCGGUAUAGUUGGCCUAUCAGUUGCAGCCUGCCAUACCCCAACUUCCAACCCUUGUUGAUCGCCGACUCAGACAGCAAGCUACCUUGUUCCCUGGAUAGGCUGCUACGGAUCACACUGUGCUCCGGCAGUUCUUUCGUUGGCUUAAAUAAUAUGAGUUCCACAGUUUUAAGGCUUGUCAUGUCACUAUUGCGAGCGUUGGAAAGUCAUCCCCUUAGCCUUCUUGUGUGUACUUUCGGCUUGCGCCAUGUCUUGGAAUCGCAGAAGGUGGGCACUCAUUGUGGGCAGCAGUGUCGGCUGCUCCUCCGGCUAACGGCGCUGUGCAUGCAAUACCUUCUUAACGGCUCCUUGUUUUCUUCCUUGGCAGCUUUCGAGCUAAUCGUUACAUUCAUUAGGUUGUGCGGCUAUAGCCGCAAAGUAAAAGUAUCGUCAAUAAUUUUCUUCUCUGGAUUGUCAAAAACCCGGAUAACACGCGUCAGGACCAUCACUUCAGGCAACCGUAGCGUUAAAUGAGUUAUUCAUGGCGCUUGAAGUUUGUGACAGCUCGGUUGCACCACCCAUCACAAGCGCAGCUGCUCAGCGAGCACCUUCGACGCAACAGCCAGGAAAAAUUGCGCCAGUUGCCUGCCCACGAUCAACUUAAGCCAACUCUGUACACACAUUCAUGCCCAGAACAACACGCGCAGGUGCUUAGACGGAGCGCUUGUUGGCCGGCUGCCAGUCGCGGGCGCUCUUGGGGCGCUGCACCAGGAAGCCCAUGAUCUGCACCUGCUUCACGUUGUCGAAGGCCACCAGGCGCACGUAGGCGUCCGGGAAGGCCUUGGUGCAGGCAACAAUCUCGCGCAGCACCUGCAUCGGGUCGCGGCAGCCGAACAUGGGCAGCUUCCACAUCGUCCAGUAGCGGUUGUCGUAGUACAGCUGCGGGGGAGGGGGAGAUGGCAGAGGGAAAAGAACGACAGGAUUGUCAGUUUGGUCAGCAAGUAAGACAUUUCAGUCAAAAACAGAGCGACCCAAAAACAUUGCUGGGCACAAACGUCUCGUAACCCUUAACUUACGCAGGAGACUGGGCCGAAGCGAACGGUCGACUCGUUCGACACGUAGGCCUUGUCGGCCUCAGCGAACUCAAGGCAAGGAAUCCAGCCUGGGAAAUGGGGAAAUGUUAUAGUAAAAAUCUUUCGGAGACGAUGACGUUGUACGAGAACAAUUUACGCUUGCAUAGCAUCCAACCCCAUCCUGAGAUAGCAUUGGAACGAGAGAAAAAGCGGGUCAAGAUCAUACCAUUAGCAACGAUGUAGUCGACCUGAGCAGCGAUCUGCUCGUCGGUCAGAGGGGGCAGGUAGGAAAAGGUCUCGAACAUCCUGCAAUGCAAAUCCAAUCACUCAAAAUUAUAAAGGUUAGGUAGAUUAUUGAACAACUCAAAGGAUUCACAAAAUAUCAAAUCACAGCCAUAAGCAACAAUGUACAGCGACUCACUUGUUGUUCACCGGCGUCCAGACCAUCAUCUUGUUGGCCUGGGCCGGAGAAGCCACAGGAGCUGCCUUAAUAGCCGGCUUGAGGACGGCGACCGGGCGCACGCUGCUGCGAGCUGGGCGCACCACAGCGGUGGCCACAGAUGACUUAGCAACAAUAGCGGCCAUUUUCCUCCUUAGUGAGAAGUAUGCGAUGACUGAGCUGGUGAGAAUGAGACUACUUCUGUCAACUUCAGUGCCGUUGCUGCCUUUUGUACCAAGGGGGCUACACCUGUACCACGAUAAACUGUACGACAAAAGGGAACGGUAGCCAGGAGUUCCAAAGAGGGUUAAAUGAAUGUUAUAUAAGCUAGUAAGUAUUAAAUUUCUGUGCAAAGGAUAGAUGCCCAAGUCUUGGAUGAGGCGAACUCGGCCGCAUGUACGAUAUGGCUGACACAUGUGUCAGCUGAAUUCUGAGCGUUUGAAAGGUUCUAACGCCAGAAUUUUACACAAGGAAUGUUAUGCGAUGCAAAAUUCGAAAGGAUGGCUUGGGCUCCGGGGUGAAAUAUUAAACCUGAGGGCUUAGGUAGCCGUUUCCCAGGUUUGUUCCAUCUUGCAGUCUCAUGGUGCACCGCGCUGUCAAAAGGUAUUAAGGGUAGUUCCGCCCGCAUCGAAAAUUUCGAAAUCGAGAUAUCAACAUUGUGUUUCCAUCUUGCCUUGUAAGCCCCCUGCCGUGGGGCCUCGAAGACGCAGGUCCCGAAAGGAUAUUAUGCCUUCAGAGGUUUGGGGGACGUUUAAAAUGAUUCUGGGUCGCUGGUUAAUAGUACCGGCCCCUCCGCAUGGCAGACGCCUUGACGAACGGCAUGAGAGGACUUCCAACAUAUUACGCGUCUGUGAUAUGCCGUGCCAAAAUCCUUGCCGCAACGCCAAUCAAUACCCUUCCAGGCCACGCGUGGACCUUUAGUGGCCUUCGACAGGGGGUUAUGACCUAGAACUGCAAUAAUACGUGGCUCUAGGCAACUUGGUUUGGUGGUUUGGUUUGGUGGCUUUAGCGCUGGGGUAGAGGCGAGGCCGAGGGAGCUAGUUGCGUACGAGUGCCCACCGGAGAUCGGGUGCCAGCCACGAUUUCUAACGGCUACCUUGCCUCGACAUUGGCUGCGAGCGAUCCUUAUGUGGUUCUCAAUCUCGCAGAUAAAUCUUUUUAGUUUAGCGGGACAGGGCAGGUCACAGGAUGACGAUGGGAGCUAAGUGAAUGGCUUGUCGCUCCGGCGACCACCACCCUGAGGACGGCUUCCUGCCGGUCGUUCCCGUUCGUUGAGCAGUGCGUCGCGGCCUCCCCCUGCGAACUGGACUAGGCCACAGUGAUACAUUAAGGUUGGGAUUCCUGUAGAUCCGUUUCUAGCUUGUUGCCCAGAUCCAGAAGGCGCUAAUAGGACAGCGUCAACCUGCUGUAAAAAUCGCUUAAAGCUUAAGUUGAUACCAUACAACACCAACCAGGGACACCAACGCAUAGCCAUUAACGUAGGAAAGUGAGGCAAAGCUGAAAGCAUUACAGCGGCUUCCCGGGAACGUACACUUGCCGAGCCUUGCCUACAUCGGGUCUCGCCUUGUGAGCAGCUAAGCUUAUACCACGCCAUUCGCGGUUCAUUGCCUGGGUCGCUUACUCUCCGUAGCCUGCUGGUAGGGGGAUAAGCAGAGUUAUGUGGCUUGCAAAGCUGCGCUGGACGAACUUGCUCCUGCGGGACAUUCCUGCCGCGUGGCUAGAAGCAGCACGACUGGCUAACCCCUUGACACAAGGUGUGCGACUGCAGCUGCCGCUCGAGGACAACGAUACUGAGCUUCGAAUCACUUAGUUGGUGUGGAAGCUUCCCAACAAUAGCAAGGUGGCGCUGAGGAAAUGGUGGCGUACGGAUGUGCACAUGUACGGACGCGACGGCUGAGGUGGACUGUCUGUCUGUGAAACAGGGGGGUAUAUCUUCACCAGUGGCAGCUACCCUGCGAAACCCUGCCUUCCCCGGUAUUUCGGGACAUCCUCAUCCAGUCACCCUAGUCAACUUCUCAGUGGAUCGCUCAGGUUCCGCACCCACCACCAGCAUCCAACGGAAUCAGCCGGGCCGUCAGCAGCCCAACUCCAUUCCUGGUCGGCGCGCAGGUUAACUCUAUCCCAGAUCACCACCGUCCAACAACUAGGGGCGCAAUACAUUCUACCAGCGGACGGAUUUAUGACCCUGAAAGAACUCGAUCCCGGAAUCUCCCGGGGGCAAUGGUCGCGCGUUACCAGUAGAGCCUAACCUAUGAAUGGAAUGUCUGUAUGUCGCAGAUUCCUGGGGGUUGGGAGCAGAUGUGGAGGAGGUGCAGCUCGACGCCAUGCUGUAAGGGCAUGACAAAUCAAUGGUCGUCAACACUGAGCGCCUGAACGGCUUCCAGUUGACAGUUUUCCCGUCAGAUCCUUAACACAUGAACGGUGUGACCAUUCCCACAGGGGGAACGCUGGUAGGUGGCAUAGAUGAGUUUAUCUUAGCCCCAAAUCGCGGCCGUGCCUAAUGGCCUAGAGAAUCCAAUUAUACUUGCUGGAUGGGAGACAGAUGGGAAACACUCGUUGCUAAUUGCUAUCCAAGCCGCGCUAAGGGAUCUUGGUACCUUAUUGGCUUUGGCACCUCUCUGCACCUCCUAUGCAGCUUUUGUGGGCGGGCAGCGCGGGUAAUUCUGCCGGAUCCAUCCCAACUUGAUUCAUUACAUGUAUUUACGAGCACAAAAGUCGAGUAUUAAUCAAUAGUCAAUAUUCACUAAAUUCUUCCAAUGAGCUGACCUUCAUGUAAACCGAACGGCCAGCACCGCCCUUCCUGCUAUCUGCUCCGAGAGGGCAAAACAUACAUAAGAACUGCGCUGACCAUACGAAACUGUCGAGCGACAUCCAAAAUACCAAGGUAAGCCAUCUAUGUCGCCAUCUAAUCGGGUCGAGGCAUUUAAUCUUCUCUGAACAUCAUUAAGAGAAGAUGUAUCUCCUAACAGGCAGCCCGAAGCAUAUGUCAUUAUUAGCGGAUGGAAUUUUUCCUAAUGAAUGGUUCACUACGAACAGCUGCUGAGCCAGCAUCCCUUGAUGCAACAGCAGGGAAAAAUUGCACAGGACAUGCUGGCAUAAAACCAUGCGAGCGCAUCCACACUCCCGAGGCGAUUAGCAACACGCGCAGCUGCUUAGACGGAGCGCUUGUUGGCCGGCUGCCAGUCGCGGGCGCUCUUGGGGCGCUGCACCAGGAAGCCCAUGAUCUGCACCUGCUUCACGUUGUCGAAGGCCACCAGGCGCACGUAGGCGUCCGGGAAGGCCUUGGUGCAGGCAACGAUCUCGCGCAGCACCUGCAUCGGGUCGCGGCAGCCGAACAUGGGCAGCUUCCACAUCGUCCAGUAGCGGUUGUCGUAGUACAGCUGCGGGGGAGGGAGGGACGGAAGCAGAAAAAAAGUAUGUUUAGCGACGGCGCAAGAAAAAGUGGUCAAGUCCCGAUAGGCUAUGGAAUACCUAACAGCGGAGUUGAAAUGAUGACCAUCCCUUUCGCCGUAUACCCCAACUUACGCAGGAGACUGGGCCGAAGCGGACGGUCGACUCGUUCGACACGUAGGCCUUGUCGGCCUCAGCGAACUCAAGGCAAGGAAUCCAGCCUGAUACAAAAGGGGGACAUCCGAGAGUGUACAAACUUGCAAACCAUUGCCCAUACAACCCAAGCUGAAGCCCAAACUCCGAUUGGAAGGCAACAUUGACCCUUAGGAAUGUUGCCUUACCAUUAGCAACGAUGUAGUCAACCUGAGCAGCGAUCUGCUCGUCAGUCAGAGGGGGCAGGUAGGAAAAGGUCUCGAACAUCCUGAAAGAGAAAACAAGUUGUGAACAUAAAACGUGUAAGCAAGCGGAAAGAAAAGCGUUUGGCAGUACAAAUAUAAGACAAAACAAAAGAAAUCGCAAGACAAGUACCGACGUGAUUAGGCAAAUACCGACGUGCCGUUCAUGAAAGACAUUCCUAAUCUCGCUUCAGGGAUACAGAAUCAAGGUAAUUUAGUAGAUUGUGCAGUAGAAAAGGUGCAGCUACUCACUUGUUGUUCACCGGGGUCCAGACCAUCAUCUUGUUAGCCUGGGCCGGAGCAGUGACCGGGGCAGCCUUGACAGCCGGCUUCAGAGCUGCAACAGAACGCUGAACGCUGUUGCGGGAUGGGCGCGCCACUGCGCUGGCCACAGAUGAUUUAGCAACAAUAGCGGCCAUUUUGGGAUAUGAUUUAAAUGUUUAAGAAUCACUAAUAUAUUAAUUGUAUGCUUAAUUGUGAUCACAGCUGAUUGCUUUUGUAUUGUGAUGAUCUGUACCACGAUAAAACGUACGGCAGCGUUGAAGCCUUGGCACGGACUUCCCUGGGGCUAAUGUUUUAAUCUUGGAGAGCAUAUUCUGAUAACCUUUGCAUUUCAUCAGGUCUAGGGCUUCAGUCGGAGAAAGCUCGGUCCUUAAGGUUCUCAGCCUUGGUCAUAAGGAUAAGGUUUUCGAUGCCGUUUGCUAGUGCAUAAGGUACAACUACCAUUAAGAAUCAAGUAAUUUGCUCAUUGCGGCAGAAAACGUGGUGUUGCACUAUAUAGCCUGUCAAUGGCUUACGAAGGGCGAAGUGCCGUCAGACCUUUAUGGCCAUUCUGAGUGGCCAGCCCAUACUUGCAAACAAUGAGAAUGUCCAUACUUGAUUCGGAAAGUAACAAUUUCUGGCAGUUAGUGGUCAAAGCCUCGCCCGUGGAGCUCAAUUUGAGGAUAGACAUUGUGUUGUGUUUUCAAUUUCAAGUGUUCAUGGAUUCCAUUACAAACUAUUUUGGGACAGUUAAGAGUCACCAUGAGGGCAGAUCGCUGCAACCGCUUCUUUCGUCCGAAUGGAUGAGCCUUUAAGUUCUAUACAAAGGCCGUGCAAGGGUCAAUAUCCAUACCUGUGCUGAACGAAGCGACGCCUCAGUACUGGGCACCGCAGGCGGCCAUUGCUCAGAAUGCUCUGGAUCAAGAGUUUUAGGCAUCGUCUUCUGGCCCAGCAGCGGUUGUGAUUUUCGUAUUACUGCUGCGGCAAUGGGGAGCUGUUUCACUGCAAUUGGGCUUGGUCUAGAACACGUACAAACACGGAUUUAUAGGGUCGCAUAAGACUGCAACGUCGUCCAACGACGUGGUUUUGUUGCAGCGUUUACAACACCAACGUUUGCGCGAGAGAUGUGUGUAGGAAAACAUGUGUGUGUGUGUUUUUGUGUGUGUGUUUUUGUGUGUGUGUUAGUAUAGUGGGCUGUCGUAUUUCCCUCAAGAUGUUUCACUUAAGCCCAAUCUCAAGUUCAUCUGCAGCGCUAAGUUUCCAUCUUCCCUCAUUAAUCGAGUAACGUUACAGUUUAUCCCAUCACCUCGAACCAUGGCCGCAGAAAUAGGAGGGGCGCGUACCUAAUAGUAUUAGCGCGUUAGGAAAACCCGCACUUAUCACAAUUAAGUCAUGCCAGGAUGGGUUGUUAGCAUGCGUCCUCAUAACGCGCCCCGCCUACGCCUCCUACGUGUCUAAUCGUCACCCACACAUUCAAACCACUAAUCCCCCAAGCCGUCUAUUCGGUCAGUCAUCGUCAAUAUUUCUUCACUGAGCAUGGCUACUAUACCUAGUAGAAACUUCAAGGCAUCAUCCCACGACUGGAAAACCGCCGGAUCCCACGUUUAUUGCUGGCGUACACACACACUCAUGAAUGGCUAGUUAUCGGUAAAAAUUAGAAUGCAUCAACUCUGCACGCAACCUACAAUCAACCAACUGAAAAAACAUUUGCACCAGAAACCUGCUUCCUGUACGUGUACGAUAAACCGACCAAUUCUUCCGAUAUGCCGGCCAUGCGUGCGCAUCCACACUCCCGAGGCGAUUAGCAACACGCGCAGCUGCUUAGACGGAGCGCUUGUUGGCCGGCUGCCAGUCGCGGGCGCUCUUGGGGCGCUGCACCAGGAAGCCCAUGAUCUGCACCUGCUUCACGUUGUCGAAGGCCACCAGGCGCACGUAGGCGUCCGGGAAGGCCUUGGUGCAGGCAACGAUCUCGCGCAG